CACCCGAUGACUGAAAGUAAGUGUAGGUCUUUUAAACCUAUUAUAGUAGCCGCCUACUUCUGGUGA
This 66-nucleotide transfer RNA is filed under the name Charybdis japonica (shore swimming crab). Its description in RNAcentral is "tRNA-Lys". Lineage: Eukaryota; Metazoa; Arthropoda; Malacostraca; Decapoda; Portunidae. The record is from RNAcentral.